UACGAAGGGGGCUAGCGUUGCUCGGAAUUACUGGGCGUAAAGCGCACGUAGGCGGUUCUUUAAGUCAGGGGUGAAAUCCUGGAGCUCAACUCCAGAACUGCCUUUGAUACUGAGGACCUUGAGUUCGGGAGAGGUGAGUGGAACUGCGAGUGUAGAGGUGAAAUUCGUAGAUAUUCGCAAGAACACCAGUGGCGAAGGCGGCUCACUGGCCCGAUACUGACGCUGAGGUGCGAAAGCGUGGGGAGCAAACAGG
Molecule: ribosomal RNA, 253 nt
Filed under: uncultured bacterium
Lineage: Bacteria
Description: partial 16S ribosomal RNA
Rfam family: Bacterial small subunit ribosomal RNA
Source: RNAcentral